This 813-nucleotide long non-coding RNA is filed under the name Haliotis rubra (blacklip abalone). Its description in RNAcentral is "uncharacterized LOC124267180, transcript variant X2". Lineage: Eukaryota; Metazoa; Mollusca; Gastropoda; Lepetellida; Haliotidae. The record is from RNAcentral.
AGUAUACGCAGUUCAUUCGUCAGGUGAGCCAGUAUAGUCAGAUCAUUCGUCUGGUGAGUCAGUAUAUGCAGAUCUCUCGCCAGGUGAGUCAAUAUAGUCAGAUCAUUCGUCAGGUGAGUCAGUAUACGCAGAUCUCUCGCCAGGUGAAUCAAUAUAGUCAGGUCAUUCGUCAGGUGAGUCAAUAUAGUCAGAUCAUUCGUCAGGUGAGUCAGUAUAGUCAGAUCAUUCGUCAGGUGAGUCAGUAUAUGCAGAUCUCUCGCCAGGUGAGUCAAUAUAGUCAGAUCAUUCGUCAGGUGAGUCAGUAUAUGCAGAUCUCUCGCCAGGUGAGUCAAUAUAGUCAGAUCAUUCGUCAAGUGAGUCAGUAUAUCCAGAUCUCUCGCCAGGUGAGUCAAUAUAGUCAGAUCAUUCGUCAAGUGAGUCAGUAUAUGCAGAUCCCUCGUUAGGUGUAACAGUAUAUAGAAUAUUGUAAUGUCUCAUCAGAUGAAACAUAAAACCAAAUAUGUAGAUCUAAUCCCGCACUGUGGAGGUGAGUUUCUUGAAAGUAUCUAGAAAGCCCCUGGGUAGACAGUUAAGGAAGAUCCCUAUCCAGGUGAGUUAGUAUGUGCUGAUUUCUCACCAGGCGAGAGCAUGCAGAUCCCUCGUCAGGUGAGACAAUAGACAGAGCAUGCAGGUCUCUCGUCAGGUGAGACAAUAGACAGAGCAUGCAGGUCUCUCAUCAGGUGAGACAGUAGACAGAGCAUGCAGGUCCCUCGUCAGGUGAGACAGUAGACAGAGCAUGCAGGUCCCUCGUCAGGUGAGACAGUAGACAGAGCA